Molecule: ribosomal RNA, 461 nt
Filed under: uncultured Rhodocyclaceae bacterium
Lineage: Bacteria; Pseudomonadati; Pseudomonadota; Betaproteobacteria; Rhodocyclales; Rhodocyclaceae
Description: bacterial SSU rRNA
Rfam family: Bacterial small subunit ribosomal RNA
Source: RNAcentral
ACCGCACAAGCGGUGGAUGAUGUGGAUUAAUUCGAUGCAACGCGAAAACCUUACUACCCUUGACAUGUCCGGAAUCCCGAAGAGAUUUGGGAGUGCUCGCAAGAGAACCGGAACACAGGUGCUGCAUGGCUGUCGUCAGCUCGUGUCGUGAGAUGUUGGGUUAGGUCCCGCAACGAGCGCAACCCUUGUCAUUAGUUGCCAUCAUUUGGUUGGGCACUCUAAUGAGACUGCCGGUGACAAACCGGAGGAAGGUGGGGAUGACGUCAAGUCCUCAUGGCCCUUAUGGGUAGGGCUUCACACGUCAUACAAUGGUCGGUACAGAGGGUUGCCAACCCGCGAGGGGGAGCUAAUCCCACAAAGCCGAUCGUAGUCCGGAUCGCAGUCUGCAACUCGACUGCGUGAAGUCGGAAUCGCUAGUAAUCGCGGAUCAGCACGCCGCGGUGAAUACGUUCCCGGGCCUU